RNAcentral lists this ribosomal RNA (449 nucleotides) under uncultured bacterium. Its description in RNAcentral is "partial 16S ribosomal RNA". It matches the Rfam family "Bacterial small subunit ribosomal RNA", at positions 354 to 796 of the family's 1533-position model. The record is from RNAcentral.
GUCGAGAAUCUUUCACAAUGGGGGCAACCCUGAUGGAGCGACGCCGCGUGGAGGAUAAGGUCUUCGGAUUGUAAACUCCUGUCAUGCGUGAACAAGGUUGCUUGGUUAAUACCUGGGCAAAUUGAUGGUAACGCAAGAGGAAGAGACGGCUAACUCUGUGCCAGCAGCCGCGGUAAUACAGAGGUCUCAAGCGUUGUUCGGAAUCACUGGGCGUAAAGGGUGCGUAGGUGGCGUGGUAAGUCAGAUGUGAAAGCCCGGGGCUCAACCUCGGAACUGCAUCCGAUACUGCUAUGCUAGAGUACUGGAGAGGUGACUAGAAUUCUCGGUGUAGCAGUGAAAUGCGUAGAUAUCGAGAGGAAUACCAAAGGCGUAGGCAGGUCACUGGACAGUUACUGACACUGAGGCACGAAGGCCAGGGGAGCGAACGGGAUUAGAAACCCCUGUAGUCC